GCCCUUGUAGUUUAUAUAAAACUUUAGUCUUGUAAACUAAGAUAGAUCCCCUGGGCU
RNAcentral lists this transfer RNA (57 nucleotides) under Gmelinoides fasciatus. Its description in RNAcentral is "tRNA-Thr". Lineage: Eukaryota; Metazoa; Arthropoda; Malacostraca; Amphipoda; Micruropodidae. The record is from RNAcentral.